UACGGGGGGAGCAAGCGUUGUUCGGAUUUACCGGGCGUAAAGGGCGCGUAGGCGGCGCAACAAGUCACUUGUGAAAUCUCCGGGCUUAACCCGGAGCGGCCAAGUGAUACUGUCGUGCUAGAGUGCGGAGGGGGCUACUGGAAUUCUCGGUGUAGCGGUGAAAUGCGUAGAUAUCUGGAGGAACACCGGUGGCGAAGGCGGCAUCCUGGACCGAGAUUGACGCUGAGGCGCGAAAGCUAGGGGAGCAAACGGG
RNAcentral lists this ribosomal RNA (253 nucleotides) under uncultured bacterium. Its description in RNAcentral is "partial 16S ribosomal RNA". It matches the Rfam family "Bacterial small subunit ribosomal RNA", at positions 524 to 776 of the family's 1533-position model. The record is from RNAcentral.